This 325-nucleotide unclassified non-coding RNA is filed under the name plant metagenome. RNAcentral's name for it is "partial contains 5.8S ribosomal RNA, internal transcribed spacer 2, and large subunit ribosomal RNA". The record is from RNAcentral.
AGACUUUCAUCUCGCUGGUGCAAGUCAACGAAAAACUCGAAGAGAGCAGGAAGUCUAAGCUCAACCGUUAGAGUUAGACGACACCCCGAGUAGCAGUCAUAAAGCCCCUGUUAACCCUAUAUUCGGUUGUCAGGGGCUUCGUCAUGGCCAGUUUUGCCCAUUAAUUCGUCGCCACGCGAUCGGAGCUAGUAAUCUCAAAAGCUCACGGGUGCGUUAGGAUAUGGCAAAUGUAACAAUAGGUGAGUAGACUCUACUUCGCCGGAAGCUGAAGUGUCGUGGCAGCCUCAUGGAGGACGCCAGAAGUAGGUAGGUGACAAGCCUUGGC